AAGGGCUUUCUUCUUCUUGUACUUGCUCCCCUUCUUCAGUAAAGGACACUCAGCUCUGAUGUGCCCCGGCUUCUUGCACUCAUAACAUCCAAUCCCCUCAUUUUCCCUUUCCUUACCUUUAUCCUUGCGAUAGGAAUUUGAGGGGCCUCUCCUUUGAUGAAAGGACUUCUUUUGGUUGAUGAAUUUUCUGAACUUGUGCACGAAAAGAGCCUCAUCAUCAUCUCCCUCAUGAUCUUCUUCUUCACUGCUGCUACUGCAAGACAAGUCUUUGUUAGAUGAUGUAGAUUUGAGAGCUAUUAC
RNAcentral lists this long non-coding RNA (300 nucleotides) under Phoenix dactylifera (date palm). Its description in RNAcentral is "long non-coding RNA (PDAC_LNC021501)". Lineage: Eukaryota; Viridiplantae; Streptophyta; Magnoliopsida; Arecales; Arecaceae. The record is from RNAcentral.